GACGAACGCUGGCGGCGUGCUUAACACAUGCAAGUCGAACGGAAAGGCCCCUUUGGGGGUCCUCGAGUGGCGAACGGGUGAGUAACACGUGAGUAACCUGCCCUUGACUUCGGGAUAACUUCAGGAAACUGGGGCUAAUACCGGAUAGGAAUCCUUGCUGCAUGGUGGGGGUUGGAAAGCUUCGGCGGUUUUGGAUGGACUCGCGGCUUAUCAGCUUGUUGGUGGGGUAGUGGCUUACCAAGGCUUUGACGGGUAGCCGGCCUGAGAGGGCGACCGGCCACAUUGGGACUGAGAGACGGCCCAGACGCCUACGGGAGGCAGCAGGGGGGAAGAUUGCACAAGGGGCGGAAGCCUGAUGCAGCAACGCCGCGGGCGGGAUGACGGCCUUCGGGUUGUAAACCGCUUUCAGCAGGGGCGAAGCUUGUGGUGACGGUACCUGCAGAAGAAGCACCGGCUAACUACGUG
RNAcentral lists this ribosomal RNA (465 nucleotides) under uncultured bacterium. RNAcentral describes it as "partial 16S ribosomal RNA". It matches the Rfam family "Bacterial small subunit ribosomal RNA", at positions 28 to 507 of the family's 1533-position model. The record is from RNAcentral.